Culex quinquefasciatus (southern house mosquito) is the source of this 347-nucleotide long non-coding RNA. RefSeq lists it as uncharacterized. The record is from RefSeq and is a predicted model, not a curated record. NCBI's taxonomy places the organism in Eukaryota, Metazoa, Arthropoda, Insecta, Diptera, Culicidae. The transcript is spliced from 3 exons.
UCGGUGGACAGACGGAGAGUGGACAAUUUUGGGUCGAAGUUGGUUGACCCAGGUCCACAAUCCGGACUGCAGCUGGCCGAACAGCAAGUGGCGAGAACAGCCCUCUUCGCGCGCCUGAAAACUUCUGUCAACUCCGGUCUCCGGUCAACUCCGGUUACAGAUGGAAGGAUUCGAGGAAAACUUCUGGAAGAAGGCGGAAGCACAAUUGAAGUGCCCCGUGCCCGCGCAUCUGAAGAGAGUGCUGCAAAGAACGGGGUACUUGAACUGUGCCUUGGAGGAUCUAAGUGAAGGCCAGAUACGGUCCAUCGAGGAAGACAUCAGAAGCCUCCCAGAACUUACGAACCUUC